This is a long non-coding RNA of Ixodes scapularis (black-legged tick), 1199 nucleotides long. RefSeq lists it as uncharacterized. Lineage: Eukaryota; Metazoa; Arthropoda; Arachnida; Ixodida; Ixodidae. The record is from RefSeq and is a predicted model, not a curated record. The transcript is spliced from 2 exons.
UUUCGACAUUGCUACGAGCGCGUGAGAGUUUCGUUGUAGAGCCCAGCCAGCCGAUCCUCGUUGAUCCCCUCGACACUCCUGAAGCAAUUGAGGUGUUUGAUGGCGCUCUUACAGAUGCCACGAGUGAGGCUUUGGUAAGCAAUUGCUGUUAUCAAUGCCUGCCCAUACUCUAGUUUUUGUCACUUACUGAGGCAAGUAUUGGUGUUUGCAUUCUCUAGGCUUUGCUGUUAUGUCUUAUCCCUAGUGUGCAGCUAAGGUUAAGACAUGCAGAUAACAAAUAAGCUAGGAGCAAGCUGUGAUUUUAAAUCGAGAUGCAUCGAAGGGGUGAGACUGCCUGUUCUCUGGUAAGCAACAAAGGUGUUUGUAAUGGUGCUAUACUUUAGCAUUAUUUCAUGAGUGUAGAGCAAGCUCUGACUACUUCCGUAUUUCUUCAAAUGGCAACUCUGUCCCACAGUUCCAGAUCUUAGAGCAUGGGAAAUGACUAAUGAGAUAGAACAAUGACUAGGAGGUGUAAACAACUGCCCAAAUAAAAUAAAAUUUGGGCCCUCACAUUCAUUCAAUCUUUCUCAAGGUAUCACCAGUUCACUCAUACUGGCCUCGGAGAUAAAGAGGGGGUGUGAAUUGGCUAAUUGUAAAGCCUAGCCCAGUUAAUACAAGCUGUAAACCCAUUCAUGCUCAGGUUCUUUCUAUCCAGCUAACCUUGAAUGCCAAACAUUUUUGGCUAUACUUGCUUUCUGGGUAUCGUAAUGCUCCUUAUGUCAUGUCUUACGUUCCCCAGGCACCAGCCCCACGUUUUAUGUGCUCAAACACGGCAUUGGCAUUUUGCAUGGACAGUGAAUUGAGGAUUGCAUUUUCUUAUAACCAAGGUUAUUGCCCCAAGAUGAACCCUUUCCAUGAUAUAAGUAGCUUUGGGGAUAGCGUUUCACUGGUCAGAGUAAAACAGCGAAAACUGGCUAUGUCUUGUUCGUAUUAACUGUGUCGUGCUCUGUACGUUCCUUCCAGGUUGUGGAGCUGACCUCCCUUGGGGACCUGUCUAUCAAAACAACUGUAAGGUCUAUGCUUGCACACCUGAUUAGUGACGAAGCUGCAGCCAAGUUCAGCAUGGAUGGGCGCAAAGGGAAGAAGGUUUUCCGUAGCCUUAAGCUGUACAAAUUGAUCUUUGCUGCUAUAAAGCGGACAAAGCACUGCAAAGAGUCUAC